This 590-nucleotide ribosomal RNA is filed under the name uncultured bacterium. RNAcentral describes it as "bacterial SSU rRNA". It matches the Rfam family "Bacterial small subunit ribosomal RNA", at positions 338 to 944 of the family's 1533-position model. The record is from RNAcentral.
CCUACGGGAGGCAGCAGUGGGGAAUAUUGGACAAUGGGCGAAAGCCUGAUCCAGCAAUGCCGCGUGAGUGAUGAAGGCCUUCGGGUCGUAAAGCUCUUUUACCAGGGAUGAUAAUGACAGUACCUGGAGAAUAAGCUCCGGCUAACUCCGUGCCAGCAGCCGCGGUAAUACGGAGGGAGCUAGCGUUGUUCGGAAUUACUGGGCGUAAAGAGUACGUAGGCGGUUAUUCAAGUCAGAGGUGAAAGCCCGGGGCUCAACCCCGGAACUGCCUUUGAAACUAGAUAGCUAGAGUCUUGGAGAGGUUAGUGGAAUUCCGAGUGUAGAGGUGAAAUUCGUAGAUAUUCGGAAGAACACCAGUGGCGAAGGCGACUAACUGGACAAGUACUGACGCUGAGGUACGAAAGCGUGGGGAGCAAACAGGAUUAGAUACCCUGGUAGUCCACGCCGUAAACGAUGAUAACUAGUUGUUCGGUCACUUGGUGACUGAGUGACGCAGCUAACGCAUUAAGUUAUCCGCCUGGGGAGUACGGUCGCAAGAUUAAACUCAAAGGAAUUGACGGCUGAGACGUUGCGAGAGACACGAGGAGAGG